CAACAGUCUCAUAUCUAUCUGUAUAUCAUGAUUGAAAGUGUUGUCCAGUCUGGUCCAUGGAAUUUUGAAAUCGCAUUGUCAACAUUGGUAAGUACAUUUAAAUUUGACAGCUAGCUUUUGCACCAAGAACUCCCAGGUGUGUUACCCAAAACGCACCGUGGCCUACAAACAUGGAUUUCCUGGACUUCACUUCUCAAAACACACAAACUCUGACACGUUCACAGUCACCGGACUUUUAAUCAUGUCCACCUGUUCCUAAUCACACCUAUAUAAACAUUCUAUGGAUAUUCAACCAGUAUUGCUCAGUGUGUGGUUACCUGAUCUUACCAAGCUGUACAUUACAUAUACUGAUAUUUUGGUUUUGAUCUUGCAUGCUAUCUCUUUUUUGGAUUUUGGAUUUACCCUGUUGGUGUGGUUUGCUUAUCACCUGAUCUGUGCUGUUUUUUGAUUAUGCCUUCUGCAUUACAAUUUGGAUUUGUCUGCCAGUUCUUACAAUAAACUUCAACUGCAUUUGCAUCUGCUUCAGCCUACCAUUCAUGACUGAUUACUUCACCGUGUCCCAGGAUGCAGAAGAAGGGCAUACCUGACGGACCAUGGUACCAACACAAGGACAACUGGUGGGCGAAUGUUGAAACCUCUUGGCAGAUCGGUUCAAUAAGGUGAACCUGAUUUCACAGGCACUCACCACCACUGCUACACUACAACUGCACAUGCCAGCUCUGCCAGCUAGCUCGCUUAUUCCUCAGCCAGACAAGUAUGCAGGUGAAACCUCCCUUUGUUAAGGCUUUCUGCUGCAAUGCUCACUGUAUUUCACCAGUAAUGCGGGACUGAUGGAGCAGCAGACGAUAGCAGCUCCUAGCAUCCUCUGCCUUCUCACAGGCAAGGCACUAAAUUGGGCCACAGUGGUGUGGUUUAAAGGAGGAGAGCAGCUGACUUUCUAUGACCAGUUCAUACAGUUCUUUCAAUGCAUCUUUGAUCAUUCUCCAGAGGGGAAGUAGAUUGAAGAACAGCUGCUCAAAGGGUCCCAAGGUCCCAGUGGUGGCACCGACGACAGUAGAAAGUCCAGAGACUCACUCAACUCUCAAAAUCUCCUCUGAAUCUUCGGGAAAUGCUCAGUAAUACUAAAGCCUGUCUGCCACCACACCACCCUUAUGACUGCACAACUGAGCUUCUGCUGGGGACCACCCACCCACGCAACUGUAUUUACCCACUCUCUUUCACUGAACUGCACGCCAUGGAAGAAUAUAUUCAGGAAGCUUAUCCACACAUUCUUUCACCAUAUUCACCAACCAUAAAAACCUCAAAACAUCCAAAUGUCUGAAUCCUUGCCAAGCUCGAUGGGCCCUGUACUUUACACAAUUUCAUUUCAACCUGUUAUAUAGACCUAGUUUCAAGAAAACUAAAGUGGCCUCUCUGUUCCGCCUGCACAGUAGCCCAAGAGAGGACAGUGAGGAGGACAUCCUUCGCCACUGGUGCUUCCUGAGUGCAGUCACUUGGGACAUUGACCAGGAGACUGCGUGCACCCCAACAUAGCAGAUUCCUCAGUCAUGGCCUUCCAAUACGCAAUUCAUGCCCACUGCCCUAUGGGGCAAACUCAUCAGUUUCCACCUGGCACAUUCCGCCAUAGCCUCUGGCCACCCAGGUACACAAUGGACAUAUCAUCUGUUAUGGGACAAAUACUGGUGGCCCAAUAUUCUAAGAUACAUUCAGUGUUUGUCUCAUCACAAGCCAAGGUCCCGCAAAACCCUAGCAGCUGGUAAACUCAUGCCCCUGCCCCUGGAUUUCAUCUCGGACCUCCCAGAAUCAGUCAGUACCACUGUCAUCUUUGUCAUCAAAGACCAAUUCUCAAAAACCAUGCACCUCAUCUACUCUUUAACUAUGUGUUAUGUUAUUUCAGAAUCCCGGAAGACAUUGUCAGUGACAGAGGCACUCAGAUCACUUCACGUAUCCAGUUGAGUUUUACGAAAAAACUGGGGGUACACAUGAGUCUAAUCAUGAGGUAUUACCCACAGACCAAUGGGCAGGUAGAGUGGGCCAACCAGGCUUUUUCUCAGGACCUUCUAUGCUGAAAACCAAUAGAAUUAGGCUCAGUUUCUUCUUUGGGCUGAAUAUGCCCAGAUCUCAUUCAGCCACGCAGUAAACCCCUUUCUAAUGUGUGCUCGGUUACGAUCCCCCUCUGUUCCCCUGUAACGCUAACCCCACCGACUCACCAGCCAUGGAUGAGUAGUUCCAAUGGUGCAAAUAGGUGUGGGAGAGCACACAUCAACACCCAGAACAAGUGGCACACACCAAUAAAGAGAAUGCAGGCCUCGAGAAGACAUUAAUACACACCAUACAGAAAGUGUGUCCACAGAGAAUAGUCACUGGAUCCUUGAGUAGAUCCAGACAGAUUGGACAGCUGAACUGGUCCUGAGCCACUGAAAUAUUCACUUCUGCCAUUUUACUGAAAAAUAAACUCACACAGUCACUUACAGCAGCUCACACUUCCUGGUUCAGUCUGUAAGACUGAGGUUUUUCUGUGUGCAGCCCAGGCUUAAUAAUGAGAAACACUAUUUAGCUGUCUAACCAAGUCACAAAAGGUUUAACUUUGAUUUUCUUGUUAUCUUUAAUGGAUUUGUAAGUGAGCAAAUGGGUGAACUCUAUGAGGCAGUGAACUAACCAAUCCGCUGCCAGCUAGGCUCUGUUACAGUUACACCUCUAGGUUAGUGUCUCUGCACGUUCUUUUGGCGCGUGCACCUGUGUAUAGGAGGCUGCGUUAUCCACUUGAGAGUAAAAGAGAGCUGUGCCUGAAUCCACUGUUGUCACGGAGCUAAAGGCAGUGAAUUCUGCUAAAAUGGUCAGGUUUUGGUAAAGAGUUGGAAACAUCGUGCAGAGAUCCUUUCCACGGAAUGAUACAGAUCCCCAUGUUCCAGGCGCUCUUCCAGAGAUUCAUAGAUUCCCAGUCCGGCUGGCUGGGUGGCGAGCCAACCGUGUUUGUGACUCUGACUUUAGACGGAUAGCCAGGAUCAUCUUCUUCAUCUUCAUGGUGGUAGGACAAACACUAACACGAACUAAACAGGGCCCAACAUUGGUGACUGAACUCUUGUCAACAAAGGCAAGUGAAACUGAGGACGAACUAAGCUCAAGGGAAUUUAAAAGGGGAUUUAUUUACGUGUGCACUUUAUUAUUUUAGUUUGUUAUUUUUUUUUCAUAACUGUUUUGUAUAUAUGUAUGUAUCAGCCCAUGUGUGUUUAAUACAUUUUAUGCAAAUGGUCAU
Molecule: long non-coding RNA, 3256 nt
Organism: Ictalurus punctatus (channel catfish)
Lineage: Eukaryota; Metazoa; Chordata; Actinopteri; Siluriformes; Ictaluridae
Exons: 3
Source: RefSeq, a predicted model, not a curated record